This 240-nucleotide unclassified non-coding RNA is filed under the name Nephromopsis nivalis. Its description in RNAcentral is "Flavocetraria nivalis partial contains 5.8S ribosomal RNA, internal transcribed spacer 2, and large subunit ribosomal RNA". The record is from RNAcentral. Lineage: Eukaryota; Fungi; Ascomycota; Lecanoromycetes; Lecanorales; Parmeliaceae.
CGCACAUUGCGCCCUUCGGUAUUCCGGAGGGCAUGCCUGUUCGAGCGUCAUUACACCCUUCAAGCGUAGCUUGGUCAUGGGCCCCGCCUGCGAAGGCGUGCCCGAAAACGAGUGGCGGUCCGGUGCGACUUUAAAGCGUAUUAAAUUUUCUCCACGCUCAGGAAGUCAAACCUCGCCGGCCAGCGACCCCCAAUUCCAUGAAUUGACCUCGGAUCAGGUAGGGAUACCCGCUGAACUUAA